RNAcentral lists this ribosomal RNA (588 nucleotides) under Burkholderia ambifaria. Its description in RNAcentral is "bacterial SSU rRNA". It matches the Rfam family "Bacterial small subunit ribosomal RNA", at positions 1 to 582 of the family's 1533-position model. Lineage: Bacteria; Pseudomonadati; Pseudomonadota; Betaproteobacteria; Burkholderiales; Burkholderiaceae. The record is from RNAcentral.
AAACUGAAGAGUUUGAUCCUGGCUCAGAUUGAACGCUGGCGGCAUGCCUUACACAUGCAAGUCGAACGGCAGCACGGGUGCUUGCACCUGGUGGCGAGUGGCGAACGGGUGAGUAAUACAUCGGAACAUGUCCUGUAGUGGGGGAUAGCCCGGCGAAAGCCGGAUUAAUACCGCAUACGAUCUACGGAUGAAAGCGGGGGACCUUCGGGCCUCGCGCUAUAGGGUUGGCCGAUGGCUGAUUAGCUAGUUGGUGGGGUAAAGGCCUACCAAGGCGACGAUCAGUAGCUGGUCUGAGAGGACGACCAGCCACACUGGGACUGAGACACGGCCCAGACUCCUACGGGAGGCAGCAGUGGGGAAUUUUGGACAAUGGGCGAAAGCCUGAUCCAGCAAUGCCGCGUGUGUGAAGAAGGCCUUCGGGUUGUAAAGCACUUUUGUCCGGAAAGAAAUCCUUGGUUCUAAUAUAGCCGGGGGAUGACGGUACCGGAAGAAUAAGCACCGGCUAACUACGUGCCAGCAGCCGCGGUAAUACGUAGGGUGCGAGCGUUAAUCGGAAUUACUGGGCGUAAAGCGUGCGCAGGCGGUUUG